UACGGAGGAUGCAAGCGUUAUCCGGAAUGAUUGGGCGUAAAGGGUCCGCAGGCGGCCAUGUAAGUCUGCUGUCAAAGAAUGAGGCUUAACCUCAUCAAGGCAGUGGAAACUACAUAGCUAGAGUACGGUCGGGGUAGAAGGAAUUCCUGGUGUAGCGGUGAAAUGCGUAGAGAUCAGGAAGAACACCGGUGGCGAAAGCGUUCUGCUAGACCUGUACUGACACUGAGGGACGAAAGCUAGGGGAGCGAAUGGG
RNAcentral lists this ribosomal RNA (253 nucleotides) under uncultured bacterium. RNAcentral describes it as "partial 16S ribosomal RNA". It matches the Rfam family "Bacterial small subunit ribosomal RNA", at positions 524 to 776 of the family's 1533-position model. The record is from RNAcentral.